Molecule: ribosomal RNA, 252 nt
Filed under: uncultured Bacteroidales bacterium
Lineage: Bacteria; Pseudomonadati; Bacteroidota; Bacteroidia; Bacteroidales
Description: partial 16S ribosomal RNA
Rfam family: Bacterial small subunit ribosomal RNA
Source: RNAcentral
UACGGAGGAUGCGAGCGUUAUCCGGAUUUAUUGGGUUUAAAGGGUGCGCAGGCGGGAGAUCAAGUCAGCGGUAAAAUGUCGGGGCUCAACCCCGGCCGGCCGUUGAAACUGGUUUUCUAGAGUUGGAGAGAAGUAUGCGGAAUGCGCGGUGUAGCGGUGAAAUGCAUAGAUAUCGCGCAGAACUCCGAUUGCGAAGGCAGCAUGCCGGCUCCACACUGACGCUGAGGCACGAAAGCGUGGGUAUCGAACAGG